CUAUGCUGAUAAAACUAGGAAUUUUACUUAGGAGCAAAGAUCAUCAAUCCUAAAAUAUUUAUGUGACAAUGUUCAUCCAAUCACCUUGCAACACCUUGAUGUACAUGUACCAAGUCUAAUUCAUGUCACUAUUACAUGCACUUUGAUACACAGACCAUCCAACUUUGAUUCAGGCUUUUUACAUCAUAUGGCUGAUCUAGAUGCUGUUUUAAGAGCACAGUCUGUACUGUUUGUGAUUGAAGAAGAAGUGGAAACAAAGCCAGAAAAUCUGUUGAGUCAUACAGAUAUUCUGUUUAAUAUGUCCUGAAACACAAACUUCAGCGAAGACCUACUUUAGUAAAGAUGCAUGGCAGCUUGUUUUAAAUACUCUCAAAGUAUUAGAAGAUAUGUAUAUUAGUAACACUCAGAAGUAUUAUGAUAAGAUUUCUCCAUGCCAGACAAGAAAAGGCAAAGCUUUAAUAGGUCCAGUUGAAGGUGAGUUUCAUAUUAAUGAAUAUUGAAAAAAACAUCUGAACGUAAGUACGUAUAUGUGGAAUAAUUGUCAUUGGUACCAAACCCAGUUACGACAUUGAACAAGUAUUAAAUAAGCUCUCUACGAGUUCAAGUUUGACAUCAUUAUAAAGUUGACUUUUGACUGGUUUCUGCUGGUUUAUAGUAGAAACGUGUUUAACUGGCCAUGGACCUAAGAGCAAAUUGAUUUUAUUUCCAAUAAGUUAAUUAAUGAAAAUAUAAAAUGUGUAAAAGAUUUUCAAGGAGACAACAAUGAGCUAGAGACCAAUUUGCAUAGAUGUAAACUACUAUUGGUUACUGUUUGGCCUUCAACAAUAAGCAAAAUCUUUAAAAUGUAGGAAGUUAUGAAGACUUUGUGACAUUAUGUUAAGACUUUGUAAUAACUUCACCAUUGUUUUAAGGAUAAAGCUUAUUCAAGCACUUUUAAAAAAAAUUUGU
Long non-coding RNA from Mytilus trossulus (common blue mussel), 948 nucleotides. RefSeq lists it as uncharacterized. The transcript has 3 exons. The record is from RefSeq and is a predicted model, not a curated record. NCBI's taxonomy places the organism in Eukaryota, Metazoa, Mollusca, Bivalvia, Mytilida, Mytilidae.